GGGCAUGAUGUACACAUCAUGGCUGAUACUCUUAGUAAAUAUUUUGAAGUGAGAUGGAAAACUAUAGAAAAGAAAUUACCCAAGAUUGAUGCUCAGGCUUUACCAGCAAAGUCAGGCCCUUGUGAAGAACUGCAAAGUUCUGAAACAUCUCCCAUUAAAAAGAGAAAAAUAACUGAAUAUCAACAUGAAAUUGUGCUAGAGCCUGCUAGGCAGAUAAUGACGGAUGAUGAUAAGCAGAAUCUAGGAAGAGAAUUGGAGUCUUUGUUGGGAGAAAUGCCUGUAAAUAUCA
This 289-nucleotide unclassified non-coding RNA is filed under the name Hevea brasiliensis (rubber tree). The record is from RNAcentral. Lineage: Eukaryota; Viridiplantae; Streptophyta; Magnoliopsida; Malpighiales; Euphorbiaceae.